AGGGACGAUAUCACAGACAUUGGGUUCAUUGACCCGAACACAAUGCAUGUCAAAACCAUAGAUGAUCCCCUCUAUAACAAGGAUACACCGCAGACUUUGCUAAGGUUUUUGAAGCGACAACGUGACAAAAAGCUAAUACUUUGGCCUUACAACUUCGAGUUUCACUUUAUUCUUCUCGUCAUCAAUUUGGAAAUUGGAGAAGUUGAAGUCUUGGACUCACUAACCAAAGAAAAGGAUCUAUACGUGUCUUGUUUUUUAAUGCUCAGAAGCGUAUGGCAAACUUUCAUCAAGGAAGAUACGUCCCGUGAAUGGCCACCGAAGCUGCGAUGGCGUGCGAAAAAAUGCCCGCAACAACCUCCGGGGACCGAUCUCUGUGGAUUCUUCGUUUGCGAGUUCAUCCGCAGAAUUGUCAACGAGAGAACGAAUAAUGAGAGAAAUAAAGAGGUACAAAAACAAUCUUCACAAAUUUGUUUUGUUAUCAUAAGUUGUGCCGAGUUUCAGUAAUAGUUGUUUCAUGUAUUCAUUUGUAUCUUAUUCUUUUAUAGUUGGCAAGAAAGCGGAACAAGCUCUCAAUCGAUGACCGCUUCAUAGCAA
Lolium perenne is the source of this 594-nucleotide non-coding RNA. The record is from RefSeq and is a predicted model, not a curated record. Lineage: Eukaryota; Viridiplantae; Streptophyta; Magnoliopsida; Poales; Poaceae.